AGGAUUCCAUGUCCCAAACUCCAGAUUUUGUAUCCUCAACUCCAUCCAUUACCCUUUAUAACUCCAGCUUUCACAGACCAGACUUGAGAUUUUCACUUCUAAAAUUCCCCAGCACCAGGAUUCCAUGUCCCAAACUCCAGAUUUGGUAUCCUAAAAAUCUAUCCAUUACCCUAUAACUUCAGCUUUCACAGACCAGACUUAAGGUUUUCACUUCUAAAAUUCCCCAGUGCCAGGAUUCCAUGUCCCAAACUCCAGAUUUGGUAUCUUAAACUCCAUCCAUUACCCUAUAACUCCAGCUUUCACAGACCAGACUUAAGGUUUUCACUUCUAAAAUUCCCCAGUGCCAGGAUUCCAUGUCCCAAACUCCAGAUUUGGUAUCUUAAACUCCAUCCAUUACCCUAUAACUCCAGCUUUCACAGACCAGACUUAAGGUUUUCGCUUCUAAAAUUCCCCAGUGCCAGGAUUCCAUGUCCCAAACUCCAGAUUUGGUGUUCUAAACUCCAUCCAUUAUCCUUAUAACUCCAGCUUUCACAGACUUAAGAUUUUCACUUCUAAAAUUCCCCAGUGCCAGGAUUCCAUGUCCCAAAUUCCAGGUUUCACGGGCAGCGCCCCGCCAGGAAAGCCCCUAUUGAUCCUCCGCUUGUGAAUGCUCUCGUUAAUUGUUUCCUCAUUGGGAGCAGUUGAGGCCUGUCCAAUGGGAGGCUUGAUUGGCUUAAGUACCUAGUUAUAUGGUGGGACAUCCGGCCAUGCCCGCAGCCUUACGUCCGACAGUCCGACUAUAGCACGUAAGUCUCUCUUGGCUUCAACCUUAUCCUAGGCAUCUAUCAUAGGGUCAAAGGGAACUUUGGUAUUUUAAGUAUUGAGUCCGAAAACCAUUCCAUCUUCCUCAAAGCAAACUGUACAUGCAUUGGGUCAGAAGACCAUUCCAUCUUUUCCAAUUGGGGUGUUAAUUGUACAUGUAUUGGAUCCUAAGACCCUUCCAUCUUUGCCAAGGGGAGUGCUAGCUGUAUAUGCAUUGGAUACGAAUACCAUUUUAUCUUUGCCAAUCUGAGUGUUAACUGUACGUAUGUAAUUUUUAUGUACAUUACUUAUGUAAUCUAUUGGUUCCGAAGACCAUUUCAUCCUUGUAAAGGCGAGUGUUAACAGUGCAUGUAUUGGAUCCGAAGACCAUUCCAUUUUCGUCAAAGCGAGUGCUAACUGUAUAUGCAUUGGGUCCGAAGACCAUUCCAUCUUUGCCAAGCUAGUGUUAACAAUGCAUGUAUUGGGUCCGAAGACCAUUCAAUCUUUCCCAAAGUGAGUGUUAACAGUACAUGUAUUGGGUCAGAAGACCAUUCAAUCUGGUUACUGCAUAUAUAUUGGGUCCGAAGACCAUUCCAUCUUUGUCAAGGUGAAUGUUAACAGUGCAUUUAUUGGGCCCGAAGACCAUUCCAUCUUUUCCAAAGGGAGUGCUAACAGUACAUGUAUUGGGUCAUAAGAUUAUUGAAUGUUUGCCAAGGUGAGUGCUAACUGUAUUGGGUCCGAAGACCAUUCCAUCUUUGCCAAGCUAGUGUUAACAGUGCAUGUAUUGGGUCCGAAGACCAUUCCAUCUUUGCCAAGCUAGUGUGAACAGUGCAUGUAUUGGGUCCGAAGACCAUUCCAUCUUUGCCAAGCUAGUGUUAACAGUGCAUGUAUUGGGUCCGAAGACCAUUCCAUCUUUGCCAAGCUAGUGUGAACAGUGCAUGUAUUGGGUCCGAAGACCAUCCCAUUUUUGUUAAGGAGAGUGUUAACAGUGCAUGUAUUGAGUUCGAAGACCAUUCCAUCUUGGUCAAGGGGAGUGUUAACUGCAUAUGCAUUGGGUCCGAAGACCAUUCCAUCUUUGCCAAGCUAGUGUGAACAGUGCAUGUAUUGGAUCCGAAGACCAUUCCAUCUUUGCCAAGCUAGUCUGAACAAUGCAUGUAUUGGAUCCGAAGACCAUUCCAUCUUUGUCAAAGGGAGUGCUAACAGUACAUGCAUUGGAUUCGAAGACAAUUCCAUCUUUGCCAAGACGAGUGCUAACAGUACAUGUAUUGGGUCAUAAGAUUAUUGCAUCUUUGCCAAGGUGAUUGCUAACUGUAUUGGGUCCGGAGACCAUUCCAUCUUUGCCAAGAAUAUUGUUAACAGUGCAUGUAUUGGGUCCAAAGACCAUCCCAUAUUUUCCAAUCUGAGUGUUAACAGUACAUGAAUUGAGUUCGAAGACAAUUCCAUCCUUAUCAAGGACAUUUGUUAAACUUGUUCAGCGUCCUAAGACCGUUUAAACAUUGCUGAAAGCAAAAUGCUAAUAGUAUAUCACCUCUCUUUUUGAACAUAACAUACACACAAAGCUUUAUUAAGACCACCGGUCUUAUACAGAUUUGCCACAGGAAGAAAGGAAGCAUAGAUGGAUCUUCUAUACUCCAGGCAGCGCAGCAACCAUUCUCAGCAUAAAGCCCGAAGUAUAUUUUGGUAAAUUCAGGUAGCGUCUUAGAAAGAUAUUCUGAACUUGGUCAAAUACUUUUAUUUUACCCAAAAGGGUGCGGCGUAUAACAUGUGAGGCAAGAUUGUCGAAUCAAAUAAUUUCAUUGCCGCAUUUAAAGAGUUCAUCUUGGAUAUUGUAAGACCUCCCAUACGGCACCAAUUGCUGCCAGGGCUUUGCCCUUGUAAUAUGUAGAUACCCUUUUUGAACAUAACGAGAGAUAUUGUCUUCUUGAGCAAUGGAGCGAGUUCAGACAUUUCAAAUUUAAACGAUUUAAGGAAAAGCAUCUCUGUAUGCAUCUCUAUCUCUGCACCUCUGGAGUAUAGGAGCUCCAUCUAUGCUUCUUUUCUUCCCGUGGUGAAUCUGUAUAAGACCGGUGGUCUUAAUAAAGCUGUAUGUGUAUAUCUAUAUGAAAGCCUGGAGUAUAGGAGCUCCAUCUAUGCUUCAUUUCUUCCUAUGGUGAAUCUGUAUAAGACCGGUGGUCUUAAUAAAGCUUUGUGUGUGUGUUAUGUUCAAAAAGGGAGGUGAUAUACUACCUGAUGGCUGUCAGGUCCUAGAGAGAGAAUGAAGAGUUCUCGGCCAUUUCAAUUACAUCCUAUUAGAAGUCCAUUAACCGAUCUAACAAUGAUAGACCAACGUAUGAACUUGAGAGGCAUUAGUAAAAAAAUAUUUUAAAAGCAUUUUCCAAGCAAAAAAUCUCUAUUCGUUUUUAAAAAUGAAUUCAAAUAACUUCUCUCUCUCUCCUUCUACCACUAAAUUGAAAAUUUUCAGUUGAAAUAUUUUGCUACACAACUUGACAUCGCUCUGUCUCAGUUUUGAUUUUUUUUAUGAUUUUUAUAAUUUUAUGAUUAGUUAUGAUUUUUUUCUUCGAAUCUUACAUUUGCAAGACUUAAGAGUUUUCUCUUCAAAAAAUUAAUUAUUUUUUGUAUAUGAAUAUUUUUUGUAAGUGUGUACAAGAAGAUUGAAAAGGUAGGUAUAUUAUCUCCAAAGUUUACGUCACUCUCUACGAAUAUUGACGCCGCUCAGUGCUGAAAGGAUAGAAAGGUCCUCUAAGUGUCACCAUUCAGUGUUACCGCCAAUAAGGUAAGCUCCCCCAAGUCUAUCCACCCUAAGUACCACCGCCAAAGUGUCCAAGAGUCAUCGGCCAAUAAGGUAAGUUCCCCCAAGUGUCACCGUCAAGGUGUCCAAGAGCCAAGGACGAGUAUUCUGUAUUAAGUACUUAGAGCCGCAUGAGUAUCGAUGAAUUCUCCUGCUGGCUUAGGUGCUUAACAUAGAGGCUCAGUAUUCGUCGCUGGGGGAACUUCUAAACGGUAAGUUUCCAUCUGCUCAAGGGCAAGGCUCCAUAUGUUCAAGGGCAAGUCUCCAUAUGUUCAAGGGCAAGGCUCCAUAUGUUCAAGGGCAAGUCCCCAUCUUCUCAAAGGCAAGUCUCAAUCUGCUCAUGGGUAAGUUUCCAUCUGCUCAAGAGCAAGUCUCCAUAUGUUAAAGGGCAAAAAUCCAUAUGUUCAAGGGUGAAACUCCAUAUACUCAAUGGUAAGUCUCCAGUUUCUCAAGGGCAAAACUCCAUAUACUCAAUGGUAAGUCUCCAGUUUCUCAAGGGCAAGGCUCAAUAUGCUCAAGGGCAAGUCUCAACAUGCUCAAGGGCAAGUCUCCAUAUGCUCAAUGUUAAGACUCCAUCUACUCAAGGGUAAGUUUCCAUCUACUCAAAUGCAAGUCUCUAUCUGCUCAAUGGUAAGUCUCCAUAUGUUCAAGGGCAAGGCUCCAUCUACUCCAGGAUAAGUCUCCAGCUUCUCAAGGACAAGGCUUCAUAUGUUCAAAGGUAAGGCUCCAUAUAUUCAAGGGUGAAACUCCAACUUCUCAAGGGCAAGGCUCAAUAUGCUCAAUGGUAAGUCUCCAUCUAUUCAAGGGUAAAACUCCAUAUCCUGCGUGUCUGUAGCGAAUAAUUCCAUUUUUGCACAAGGCUGAGAUCUCAUCUGCAGCGGGAAAAGCUCCCUUAGUAGAAGCCAAGGCUCCAUCUACUAAUGGAAAAGCUCCAGCUGUAGCAGGUAAGGCUCCAUCCACUGAAAUUCCAUAUUAAAGGAUAACUAUUUGUGUAUGAAACAGAUAAACCUCGGAUAAGUCUUUAUCUAUUGUAGGUGUCUGGACAAGAUAUGAUAAUAUAGGCUUUCAAUUCACGAGAUUGAAGAUUCAUAUGUUUUAGACUUUUUCCGUUCUGGAUCAGACUCCUCUGUCAGGUUCGAAUAGUAUCUGUUAUGAAUAAGGGUNNNNNNNNNNNNNNNNNNNNNNNNNNNNNNNNNNNNNNNNNNNNNNNNNNNNNNNNNNNNNNNNNNNNNNNNNNNNNNNNNNNNNNNNNNNNNNNNNNNNUAAUCUUUUAGGGAUAAACAACGAAUUUUGGAGUUAAAAUUAUUACAAUCAUUCUCAUUCUCUUGCAUAGGCUUGAAUUGUUGGCGAAAAUAGCUAGGCCAUUCAAAUAUCACUUAAACAUUCAACUUCUAGCCUGUUGACCGCAUUUCUUCUGGAUUCUUCCCGAGUUGACAUUUGCAUAACGUCAUUAUUCAUUCAGUAGUUCAUUUAUUUAUUAUAUAAUACAAAUUUGAUAUUUGCGGAAGAUCGAUUGCUCGAGGCAUAUUAUAUAUUUAUAAUUAUAUACAAUUCUACUGUCCUCAAAGCUUAUGUCCAUAGUUCAUCUAAAAUACCCAUUCCAAGAGUCUUAGAAUCAGUAUCACUAUAAAAGGAAGUUACAAAAAUGCAAUAUAACAGCGGUAUGGUAGAUUAAAUUGGCGAAACAGCAGGGAGGGUUCACCACUGAUGAG
This 5280-nucleotide non-coding RNA is filed under the name Cordylochernes scorpioides. The record is from RNAcentral. Lineage: Eukaryota; Metazoa; Arthropoda; Arachnida; Pseudoscorpiones; Chernetidae.